UCACGUCUUACGACGGCAGUUUCACUAGAGUUCCCAGCGUUACCUGAUGGCAACUAGUGAUGGGGGUUGCGCUCGUUGCGGGACUUAACCCAACACCUCACGGCACGAGCUGACGACAGCCAUGCAGCACCUGUGCUGGCCCCUUACGGACACGGGCUUUCACCCGCUUUAACCAGCAUGUCAAGCCCAGGUAAGGUUCUUCGCGUUGCAUCGAAUUAAGCCACAUGCUCCGCCGCUUGUGCGGGCCCCCGUCAAUUUCUUUGAGUUUUAAUCUUGCGACCGUACUUCCCAGGCGGCUUACUUAACGCGUUUGCUACGCCACAAAAGGGGUCGAUUCCUCUUACAGCAAAUAAGCACCGUUUACGGCUAGGACUAC
This 376-nucleotide unclassified non-coding RNA is filed under the name uncultured bacterium. RNAcentral's name for it is "contains 16S-23S intergenic spacer region". The record is from RNAcentral.